GGGCGAGUAGCUCAGUUGGUUAGAGCACAGGACUUAUAAACCUGCGGUCGGUGGUUCAACCCCACCCUCGCCCACCA
This 77-nucleotide transfer RNA is filed under the name Candidatus Peregrinibacteria bacterium. Its description in RNAcentral is "tRNA-Ile". It matches the Rfam family "tRNA". Rfam says of the family: Transfer RNA (tRNA) molecules are approximately 80 nucleotides in length. The record is from RNAcentral. Lineage: Bacteria; Candidatus Peregrinibacteriota.